AAAGUACUGUAGAAGGGGGGGUAGAAUUUUCAGGGUGUAAGCGGGUGAAAAUGCGUAGAAGAUCUGAAGGAAUUACCCGGUGGNGAAGGCGGGCCCCCCUGGACAGAUACUGACACUCAGGAUGCGAAAAGCGUGGGGAGCAAACAGGAUUAGAUACCCUGGGUAGUCCACGCCGUAAACGAUGUCUACUUGGAGGUUGUGGNCCUUGAGCCGUGGCUUUCGGAGCUAACGCGUUAAGUAGACCGCCUGGGGAGUACGGUCGCAAGAUUAAAACUCAAAUGAAUUGACGGGGGCCCGCACAAGCGGUGGAGCAUGUGGUUUAAUUCGAUGCAACGCGAAGAACCUUACCUACUCUUGACAUCUACAGAAGCCAGCGGAGACGCAGGUGUGCCUUCGGGAACUGUAAGACAGGUGCUGCAUGGCUGUCGUCAGCUCGUGUUGUGAAAUGUUGGGUUAAGUCCCGCAACGAGCGCAACCCUUAUCCUUGUUUGCCAGCACUUCGGGUGGGAACUCCAGGGAGACUGCCGGUGAUAAACCGGAGGAAGGUGGGGACGACGUCAAGUCAUCAUGGCCCUUACGAGUAGGGCUACACACGUGCUACAAUGGCGCAUACAGAGGGCGGCCAACUUUCGAAAGUGAGCGAAUCCCAAAAAGUGAGUCGUAGUCCGGAUUGGAGUCUACAACUCGACUCCAUGAAGUCGGAAUCGCUAGUAAUCGUGGAUCAGAAUCCCACGGUGAAUACGUUCCCGGCCCUUGUCCACCCCCCCCGUCUCACCAUGGGAGUGGUCUGCAAAAGAAGUGGGUAGUUUAACCUUCGGGAGGACGCUCACCACUUUGUGGUUCAUGACUGGGGUGAAGUCGUAACAAGGUAACCG
RNAcentral lists this ribosomal RNA (875 nucleotides) under uncultured bacterium. RNAcentral's name for it is "bacterial SSU rRNA". It matches the Rfam family "Bacterial small subunit ribosomal RNA", at positions 642 to 1502 of the family's 1533-position model. The record is from RNAcentral.